Molecule: long non-coding RNA, 926 nt
Organism: Mizuhopecten yessoensis (Yesso scallop)
Lineage: Eukaryota; Metazoa; Mollusca; Bivalvia; Pectinida; Pectinidae
Exons: 3
Source: RefSeq, a predicted model, not a curated record
UCUAUGUAUAACCAGUAAAAUGUGACGUAAUUGUGUUUACCUGUAUUGUACCCGUUUGUCCAGUUUGACCAGGGUGGGUCGAUGGGCGUGUCGGUGAGUGAAAUUGUGUCGGUGAGUGAAAUGAAUGCGCGAAUGUGUGGGGUGUCAUAUAAAAGGAGUUACCUUAGCGGCGGGCGUUGCAUUCUAGCCAGAGCAUUUGACACGAUCACCUUCGGGGAUCAGCGCUACUUGACAUGACGGGCCAAUAUUUCCUACUGCGUGGCAACAUGCCGGUAUCAGGGGUUCCUUUGUGUUUCUGAAUCCUGUACUAUAUCUGUACAGUAUACGUCGGCCCGGGGAAAUGAAUAAAUAAAUGUAUACAGAGAAAUGGAGUUUGUCAACUGUUUUUCCUGCGACAAAUGGCGACCACGACGAGACCUGGGAACCAAAUUUGGAAAAUGAAAACGACGUCACCAUCACAGUUAUAAAGGAACCCCGAGCGGACCCAGCGAACAACUGCUACACAGCCAGCUAUGACCUGACAUGUGCAGUUAUUUAUGAGGGAAUGGAGGGAAUGGUAUGUUAGGCCAACUACACUUAUCUCACCACCGCGGGAAGUCGUCUGUUAAUGUGAGAUAAUAUUUAUUUAACACCGGUGUGAAGUGUAUGGUAUCACACAAAAAUACGACGACCCCAGUUACAGUGAGUGCGCCAAGAAAUAUAGAGGAAGCGUCGACUCGACCAAGAACAACAACAACAACCGCGGAGCUCAAAACGCGCCCGGAUGAAUCAAACGCGAGAGUGACCAGGACGAUCGAACUUGAAGUGAACAGUUUUGUGGGACGAUUUGGAAAGCAACGACACUUUAAAUUCACGUUUUUCAUGGAAACACCCAAGGCCAGCAUCAGAACAGAGGGUCAUGAAACUACAGGAAGAAUGAAGGGGAC